This is a non-coding RNA of Camelus ferus (Wild Bactrian camel), 72 nucleotides long. Lineage: Eukaryota; Metazoa; Chordata; Mammalia; Artiodactyla; Camelidae. The record is from Rfam.
GAGGUUAUAGCUCAGUGGUAGACCACAUGCUUAGAAUGCAUGAGGUCCUGGGUUCAAUCCCCAGUACCUCCU